GCCGGGCGUGGUGGCUCAUGCCUGUAAUCCCAGCAUUCUGGGAGGCCGAGGCGGGUGGAUUACUUGAGGUCAGGAGUUCGAGACCAGCCUGGCCAACAUAGUAAAAUCCUGUCUCUA
Molecule: non-coding RNA, 117 nt
Filed under: Pan paniscus (pygmy chimpanzee)
Lineage: Eukaryota; Metazoa; Chordata; Mammalia; Primates; Hominidae
Also listed under: 1 other name
Source: Rfam by way of RNAcentral